GAUGAACGCUGGCGGCGUGCCUAAUACAUGCAAGUCGAGCGGACGGACGAUAAGCUUGCUUCUCUGAUGUUAGCGGCGGACGUGUGAGUAACGCGUGUAUAACCUACCUAUAAGACUGGGAUAACCUCGGGACACCGGAUCUAAUCCCGUAUAAUAUUUUGCACCGCAUUGUUCAAAAGUGAAAUACGGCCUUUCUGUCUCUUCUAGAUGGAUCCGCGCUGCAUUAGCUAGUUGGUAAGGUAACGGCUUACCAAGGCAACGAUGCAUAGCCGACCUGAGAGGGGGAUAGGCCACCCUGGAGCUGAGCCACGGUCCAGACUCCUAAGGGAGGCACCAGUCGGGAACCUGCCGCAAUGGGCGAAAGCCUGACGGAGCAACCCGGCGCGAGAGAUGAAGGCCUUCGGAUCGUAAAAACCUGUUAUGAGGGAAGAACAUAUGUGUACGGAACUGUGCACAGCUUGACGGUAACUAAUAAGAAAGCCCCGGCUAACUACGUG
Molecule: ribosomal RNA, 497 nt
Filed under: uncultured bacterium
Lineage: Bacteria
Description: partial 16S ribosomal RNA
Rfam family: Bacterial small subunit ribosomal RNA
Source: RNAcentral